This 77-nucleotide transfer RNA is filed under the name Methylobacterium sp. 275MFSha3.1. Its description in RNAcentral is "tRNA_Met_CAT". It matches the Rfam family "tRNA". From Rfam's summary of the family: Transfer RNA (tRNA) molecules are approximately 80 nucleotides in length. Their secondary structure includes four short double-helical elements and three loops (D, anti-codon, and T loops). Further hydrogen bonds mediate the characteristic L-shaped molecular structure. tRNAs have two regions of fundamental functional importance: the anti-codon, which is responsible for specific mRNA codon recognition, and the 3' end, to which the tRNAs corresponding amino acid is attached (by aminoacyl-tRNA synthetases). tRNAs cope with the degeneracy of the genetic code in two manners: having more than one tRNA (with a specific anti-codon) for a particular amino acid; and 'wobble' base-pairing, i.e. permitting non-standard base-pairing at the 3rd anti-codon position. Lineage: Bacteria; Pseudomonadati; Pseudomonadota; Alphaproteobacteria; Hyphomicrobiales; Methylobacteriaceae. The record is from RNAcentral.
CGCGGGGUGGAGCAGCCCGGUAGCUCGUCAGGCUCAUAACCUGAAGGUCACAGGUUCAAAUCCUGUCACCGCAACCA